CCAUAAUUGAAUUUCUAGUGGGGCUAUAGUCCCACCAAUGCUGUGCACCUCACCUAACAGUUAUUGAUAACAUGAAUGAACACUAAUGCAUGGAUAACUCUUUAUCCAAAUACUUUUCUAAGCAUGUUACAGCCACUUGGUCUCUAAGUCAUAUGGGCUCACCUAACAAUUAUUGCCCGCACUUCUUAAUUAAGUUAGACCCACCA
RNAcentral lists this long non-coding RNA (206 nucleotides) under Elaeis guineensis (African oil palm). Its description in RNAcentral is "long non-coding RNA (EGUI_LNC065404)". Lineage: Eukaryota; Viridiplantae; Streptophyta; Magnoliopsida; Arecales; Arecaceae. The record is from RNAcentral.